This 449-nucleotide ribosomal RNA is filed under the name uncultured organism. Its description in RNAcentral is "partial 16S ribosomal RNA". It matches the Rfam family "Bacterial small subunit ribosomal RNA", at positions 334 to 799 of the family's 1533-position model. The record is from RNAcentral.
CACUCCUGCGGGAGGCAGCAGUGGGGAAUAUUGGACAAUGGGCGCAAGCCUGAUCCAGCCAUGCCGCGUGAGUGAUGAAGGCCCUAGGGUUGUAAAGCUCUUUCACCGGAGAAGAUAAUGACGGUAUCCGGAGAAGAAGCCCCGGCUAACUUCGUGCCAGCAGCCGCGGUAAUACGAAGGGGGCUAGCGUUGUUCGGAAUUACUGGGCGUAAAGCGCACGUAGGCGGAUCGAUCAGUCAGGGGUGAAAUCCCAGGGCUCAACCCUGGAACUGCCUUUGAUACUGUCGAUCUGGAGUAUGGAAGAGGUGAGUGGAAUUCCGAGUGUAGAGGUGAAAUUCGUAGAUAUUCGGAGGAACACCAGUGGCGAAGGCGGCUCACUGGUCCAUUACUGACGCUGAGGUGCGAAAGCGUGGGGAGCAAACAGGAUUAGAAACCCGGGUAGUCCCAUG